GUGAGGAAUAUUGGUCAAUGGGCGGGAGCCUGAACCAGCCAAGUCGUGUGAAGGAAGAAGGAUCUAUGGUUCGUAAACUUCUUUUGCAGGGGAAUAAAGUGCAGGACGUGUCCUGUUUUGUAUGUACCCUGAGAAUAAGGAUCGGCUAACUCCGUGCCAGCAGCCGCGGUAAUACGGAGGAUCCGAGCGUUAUCCGGAUUUAUUGGGUUUAAAGGGUGCGUAGGUGGUUUGAUAAGUCAGCGGUGAAAGUUUGCAGCUUAACUGUAAAAAUGCCGUUGAAACUGUCGGACUUGAGUGUAAAUGAGGUAGGCGGAAUGCGUGGUGUAGCGGUGAAAUGCAUAGAUAUCACGCAGAACUCCGAUUGCGAAGGCAGCUUACUAAGCUACAACUGACACUGAAGCACGAAAGCGUGGGGAUCAAACAGGAUUAGAUACCCGGGUAGUCC
RNAcentral lists this ribosomal RNA (445 nucleotides) under uncultured bacterium. RNAcentral describes it as "partial 16S ribosomal RNA". It matches the Rfam family "Bacterial small subunit ribosomal RNA", at positions 354 to 796 of the family's 1533-position model. The record is from RNAcentral.